GCGGAGGAAAAGAAACCAACAGGGAUUGCCCUAGUAACGGCGAGUGAAGCGGCAUCAGCUCAAAUUUGAAAUCUGGCUCUUUCAGAGUCCGAGUUGUAAUUUGCAGAGGGCGCUUUGGUGUCGGCAGCGGUCCAAGUUCCUUGGAACAGGACGUCACAGAGGGUGAGAAUCCCGUACGUGGUCGCUGACCUACACCGUGUAAAGCCCCUUCGACGAGUCGAGUUGUUUGGGAAUGCAGCUCUAAAUGGGAGGUAAAUUUCUUCUAAAGCUAAAUACUGGCCAGAGACCGAUAGCGCACAAGUAGAGUGAUCGAAAGAUGAAAAGCACUUUGGAAAGAGAGUCAAACAGCACGUGAAAUUGUUGAAAGGGAAGCGCUUGCAGCCAGACUUGCUUGUAGUUGCUCAUCCGGGCUUUUGCCCGGUGCACUCUUCUGCGAGCAGGCCAGCAUCAGUUUGGACGGUUGGAUAAAGGCCUCUGUCACGUACCUUCUCUCGGGAAGGCCUUAUAGGGGAGGCGUCAUGCAACCAGUCUGGACUGAGGUCCGCGCAUCUGCUAGGAUGCUGGCGUAAUGGCUGUAAGCGGCCCGUCUUGAAACACGGACCAAGGAGUCUAACAUCUAUGCGAGUGUUUGGGUGUCAAGCCCGAGCGCGUAAUGAAAGUGAACGGAGGUGGGAUCCCGCAAGGGUGCACCCAUCGACCGAUCCUGAUGUCUUCGGAUGGAUUUGAGUAAGAGCAUGGCUGUUGGGACCCGAAAGAUGGUGAACUAUGCUUGAAUAGGGUGAAGCCAGAGGAAACUCUGGUGGAGGCUCGCAGCGGUUCUGACGUGCAAAUCGAUCGUCAAAUUUGGGCAUAGGGGCGAAAGACUAAUCGAACUAUCUAGUAGCUGG
Molecule: small RNA, 887 nt
Filed under: Pyrenochaetopsis sp. 1 NV-2015
Lineage: Eukaryota; Fungi; Ascomycota; Dothideomycetes; Pleosporales; Pyrenochaetopsidaceae
Description: eukaryotic LSU rRNA
Rfam family: Eukaryotic large subunit ribosomal RNA
Source: RNAcentral